Molecule: long non-coding RNA, 2057 nt
Filed under: Elaeis guineensis (African oil palm)
Lineage: Eukaryota; Viridiplantae; Streptophyta; Magnoliopsida; Arecales; Arecaceae
Description: long non-coding RNA (EGUI_LNC025304)
Source: RNAcentral
UGGAAGGUACAUCCAUAUAUACUGCAAUAAAAAGGUAUUUGGCAUUUUAGUGUCCUGCUUGUGGCCCCUGCUUCUGAGAGCUUUUUGUGCGUGGUGGAGGUGAAACAUUGUUGCUCUGGGAACUAGUGGUCCUAUUAUUUUAACUUGUUUGCAUCCUUUGACCUUUCUCAUUUAUAUUGCAAAAAGGAAUUCAACAUAUUAUUGUCCGUCCAGCUACGGCCCCUGCUUUUAAGAAAUCUUUGUAUAGGUGAAACACGGUACCAGGAACUACUAUUAAACUUAAAAAACCAUUCUAAUAUUCACGCGAAACACGUCCUCUGCUUAUCUAUUGGUUGUGCGUUUCGCGCAUUUUUUUGCUAUUCAUGUAUUGAAAAAUAACGUAAGGCAUGCUCUCGUGUGCUGAAAAACAUUUUUGAUAUAUCAUCGAUUGAUAUAAUUAUUAUUGGGAUGAUAUGAUCAUUGAGAUCACCAUAAUAUAUCACUAAAAUAUUAUUAAAAAUAAAAUUUCACUACAUUAGAUAUAUCAUCAAAUAGUAAUAGUGAUAAUAUAUAAAAUAUCAUAAAUAAUUUUAUAUAUUAAUACAUAAUAAUUACUCUACAAUUUGAUUAAACAUUCUUCAUUCACAACUCCUCACAAAUAAGUAUAGCAGUAGUAAUAAUAAUAUUUAUUUAUUUAUUUAUUAUUAUUAUUAUAAAUAUUUAUUUCGAUGAAAUUAUUAUAAUAAUAUUAUAUAUAAUCGGAUUUGACUAGGCUCAGUCAAUUUUGACCAUCAAUAUCAGGACUAUCCAUUAGGAAUGAUUUAGUCCAUCAAAAUAAAAUGAGAAAAAAAAAGUAUGAAGAAUUUAGCAUGAUCCGUCCAUUCCAAUUAACCAUAUCUACCUAUAGAAAUAAAAUAGAUAUCUAAUAAAUAAAUAAAAAAUAUUCAUAUCAUUUAACUAAAUCUAUCAAUAAAAAUAAAAUUGACAUCUAAUAGAUAGGUAUCUAUAAAAAAAGAUGAUGAAGAUUUUUAUUUUCUCUCCAAUUUACUGACUUGAGAUAUUUUUGUCCCAAAAUAAUUUCAGCAUAUCACUACUAUCCGAUGAUGUGCUAUCAUAUAGGAUAUGUGUGGUGAUAGCAUCAGUGUAUUAUACAGUGAUGCUAUCAUUGAAUUUAUCAUCGAAUUCUUCAUCACUGAAUGUAAUUUUGUAACACCAAACAAGAUGAUCACAUCAUCUAAUUCAAGUCACUGGGGUGAUAUAAAAUAUUAUCCCCUUCCAAAGGCCUGGGUAAAAACCGCAAAAAAAAAAAAAUUAAAUUAAAUAAAAGAAAAGGAAGUUUCAUAUCAAAAUCUUGCAAUGGUUUUUUUUAUUGGUCAUCGCUCUCCAAAUAAUGCUGGUUAUGACAUCAAUUGGGCCACAGAAAUUACAAGUAUUCUUCGAAUGAGAUUACGCAUUCCAUUUAGGGGAGGGAAAAGAAAAUCCAAGAGCGUACAUUAAGAGCAUCAACAGGGUAGAACCAGCUCUACCAUAUUAUUUGCACUAACAAUUAACCACAAAAAAAAGAUUACAAGCAUGACGUGCUGAACUGCUAUUGAAAUCAAUCAUGAAGCCCAAAGGAUCACAAUUAGGGAAAACUGAGAUCUAGAGUAGGGCUAGGGGCACACCAAGCACAAUUUAGUCGAAAAAAAAUUAAAAGCAAAUUCAUCUCGUUUGUAAUAUUUCGAAGUUAAGAAUAGAUUAGAUUCUUCUCCUCUCGAUUGACACUAUCUUAUGGGAAAAAAUAAUUUUUUAAUGUAAAUGAUCAAAAUCAAAUCAACAAAAAACAACAAGAGGUAAGAUUUAGGAAAGAAAAGGAAAGGAUCAAGCCUGAGAUGGAGAGGGUCGCCUAGCCCUGGGUUUCCAUCGGCAUCUCCCUUAUCCAUAACGGCGCUUCUUCUCGAAUGAUUGAGAUGCUUCCGCCGCCAUUACACAUUAGAAGAAGGAUUCGGAGGAAGAAAGAACCCUGGCUCGCCUGGUUAUCAAAACCCCAGAAUUAGAUUUUUGGAGAACGCCGGAAGAAGAGCAGAGGAAAGGGAGUG